CUGUAAAUGUAGCGGAUAGCGGUUGUCACGUUUGUUUCCGUAAAGGGAUGUCAGUCAUCCUAGGAGACUAAAGGCAGUGGUGGGGCUUCUGCACCUGGCUUCUGGACCCUUCGCCCGCAUCCGGGCUGCAGCCGUGUGUGUGUCUGUGUCUGCAAACAAGUUCAUCCCCUUUCCACUUAUGUGGAAAAGCUAGGAGCCAAAUGUUUGUAUUAACCAAGAAUAUUGAGAAUUCAGAGACUCAGAACAUGGUCUGUAUUCACCGAGGAUGUAUGGCACUGUGAAAAAGAUAGAGAAAUAAUCAAAACAUCAGAUGAAAAAUGCACCAAGAGAUCUAGAGCAAAGGACUCUGGGAGAUUUGAAAACCAGCAGCAGUUUUCAGCAAGUCCUGGAUGAGUGGAACUAAAGUUGCAGAUGGAACUAAGGUACACAAUCAGAGUGACCCAAAAGGUGAAGAAUUCAACCUUCCAUUGCUGCCUUUGAAGAGAGAGGAAGGCACCAUUAGUCAAAGAAUGCCAUUAGCUUACAGGAGCUGGAAAGAUCAGAGGAAUAGCUGGAUCUCUAGAGUCCCUGGAAAGACUGAAGCCCUGAUGAUUAAUGCCUGCAGUUUAGUCCCAUGAAACCCUUUUGGACUUCUGUUCUCACAACUGUAUAAUGAUACAUUUGUGCUGUUCUAAGUUACUAAAUUUGUGUUGGCUUCUAUAGCAAUUGCAGAUAACAAAAUAUGUGAAAC
This 730-nucleotide long non-coding RNA is filed under the name Mus spicilegus (steppe mouse). RNAcentral describes it as "lncRNA (ENSMSIG00000029802.1)". The record is from RNAcentral. Lineage: Eukaryota; Metazoa; Chordata; Mammalia; Rodentia; Muridae.